This 391-nucleotide ribosomal RNA is filed under the name uncultured bacterium. RNAcentral describes it as "bacterial SSU rRNA". It matches the Rfam family "Bacterial small subunit ribosomal RNA", at positions 137 to 518 of the family's 1533-position model. The record is from RNAcentral.
CGGGGAAUAACCCGUUGAAAGACGGACUAAUACCGCAUAAUACUAAAUUACUGCAUGGUAAUUUAUUUAAACAUUUAUGGCUUACAGAUGGGCAUGCGCAUGAUUAGCUAGUUGGAGAGGUAACGGCUCCCCAAGGCAACGAUCAUUAGGGGUUCUGAGAGGAAGGUCCCCCACACUGGUACUGAGACACGGACCAGACUCCUACGGGAGGCAGCAGUGAGGAAUAUUGGUCAAUGGACGAGAGUCUGAACCAGCCAAGUCGCGUGCGAAGGAAGAAUGUUACCCUAUGGAUUAGUAAACUGUCUUUUGCGAGGGGAAUAAAGUGCAUCACGUGUGAUGUUUUGUAUGUACUCUGCGAAUAAGGAUCGGCUAACUCCGUGCCAGCCGCAGC